AGGAUGCAGCAGUGGGGAAUAUUGGUCAAUGGGCGCAAGCCUGAACCAGCCAUCCCGCGUGCAGGAUGACGGCCCUAUGGGUUGUAAACUGCUUUUAUACAGGAAGAAAAAUCUCUACGUGUAGGGACUUGCCGGUACUGUAUGAAUAAGCAUCGGCUAACUCCGUGCCAGCAGCCGCGGUAAUACGGAGGAUGCAAGCGUUAUCCGGAUUCAUUGGGUUUAAAGGGUGCGUAGGCGGCUUUUUAAGUCAGUGGUGAAAUCCUGCCGCUUAACGGUAGAAUUGCCAUUGAUACUGAAGAGCUUGAGUACAAUUGAGGUAAGCGGAAUGUGUAGUGUAGCGGUGAAAUGCUUAGAUAUUACACAGAACACCAAUUGCGAAGGCAGCUUACUAAACUGUUUCUGACGCUGAUGCACGAAAGCGUGGGGAGCGAACAGGAUUAGAUACCCUGGU
RNAcentral lists this ribosomal RNA (451 nucleotides) under uncultured bacterium. Its description in RNAcentral is "bacterial SSU rRNA". It matches the Rfam family "Bacterial small subunit ribosomal RNA", at positions 343 to 791 of the family's 1533-position model. The record is from RNAcentral.